Neopsephotus bourkii (Bourke's parrot) is the source of this 1099-nucleotide long non-coding RNA. RefSeq lists it as uncharacterized. Lineage: Eukaryota; Metazoa; Chordata; Aves; Psittaciformes; Psittacidae. The transcript has 2 exons. The record is from RefSeq and is a predicted model, not a curated record.
GCAAGGAGCAGAGACUUGGCUACACUGCAGUUCCUUCACUGCAGUUGAUGAGCACAGUUACAAGCUCUCAGGGCUUGAUUUGAUCCCCACUAGGAAGUGGAAGCAGCGACCUUCUUGGCCAGAGCUUGCAGAGCUGAUCUCUUCAGAGUUCUGGCUUAGAAGGAUUUUGGCAACAGCAUACUUUAAAAGCUAGCUGCUGAACGUCCUGAGGCUAAGCAUGUUGAAAGGCAAAGACAGGCUCUUCCUUAUUUGCUCUACAUUAAGGAAAGCUGGAUGGUAAUCUUUUUAUCCUCUGGCCCCACAUCCUGACCAGUUGAAAUGGAAGCUGUACAGGGGAGAGGAACUGGAUCAUAGAGGGGAGACACAUGUACCAGAUCAAGCUCAGGAUCCAGCCAGCCAGCAGGAGCUGGAGAAACAGUUUAUCCCCCAUUCAUAUGUGGAGUGGGGCUUUCCCCUCCCUUUUCUCUCCCAUUUAAUUGACAAUGCAGGCCGUGUUGCUGUCUGCCUUUUAUCUUCCUCUCAGUGGGAGCUGAGGCUUCUGGCUUUUUCAGGGCUGUAACAUGUCUGUGCAAGUAAUUGGUUGGGUGUUUUUGUUGUGUUUUUUUUUUUUCUGAGUUCAGUUUGAGUUAUAAAAGUGGGUGUGUGCAGGAACAUGUAAUUCAGGUCAUCCCUAAUUGACAACAUUUCAGGGUGCUUUGUUUUUAAACAAACGUAAAACAAAGCAGGUCAAAUAAAUCAAACAGGACAUUUCAGCAAAGGAUUUAGUUCUUAGCUCUUUUUAUCCCACUUUUUAAAUGCUGAAAAAGAAAAAUACCUUUUUUGCACAAGUCUAAAGAGUCCCUUUUAAAAAGGUUGAGCAAAAAAUACAUUUGGGAAGAUAAAAUUAUUUAUCAAAUGAAUUCUUAAUGUCCAAAUGAUGUGUCCCCCAUAAAAAUCUGCAUUAGUUGUUACUCUUUACACUUGUUUUAAUUUCUUUGGUCUCUGGUCCCAGCUAUUGUGAUAAUAGGCAGCUGUUGUAAUUGUUUAGUCUUUUGUUGAAGGCUGUCAAAACUACAAGCUUAAAAUUCAUUUAAAAUAAAUUAGUCACAUUUGGCAAAUA